GACCCAUUAGCUCAGCAGGUAGAGCACUUGACUUUUAAUCAAGGUGUCCCGCGUUCGAGCCGCGGAUGGGUCACCA
This 76-nucleotide transfer RNA is filed under the name Thermotalea metallivorans. Its description in RNAcentral is "tRNA-Lys". It matches the Rfam family "tRNA". From Rfam's summary of the family: Transfer RNA (tRNA) molecules are approximately 80 nucleotides in length. Their secondary structure includes four short double-helical elements and three loops (D, anti-codon, and T loops). RNAcentral also lists the same sequence under 5 other names. Lineage: Bacteria; Bacillati; Bacillota; Clostridia; Peptostreptococcales; Thermotaleaceae. The record is from RNAcentral.